This is a small nucleolar RNA of Raphanus sativus (radish), 97 nucleotides long. RefSeq annotates it as small nucleolar RNA snoR27. The transcript has a single exon. The record is from RefSeq and is a predicted model, not a curated record. Lineage: Eukaryota; Viridiplantae; Streptophyta; Magnoliopsida; Brassicales; Brassicaceae.
GUCAGAUCGAUGAUGUGAAUUACAAAACUGCGUUAUCUAUCUUAAAAAUCUCCGAAAUAGGAGUUGCAGAUACUAAACGAAUACUCUGAGAUCUGAU